AAAUGCUACUCGGCGAAUACGAAGCAGGGGUAGAAAGCAGCGUGGCCCACACACCAGGAAUUUUCCCCUUUAGCCUUUCCAGUGGGAGAACCACGAAACAGAGCAGCACCCUGUGCCUUGGGAGGUGUACACCUCGCGCGAGGCAUUUCUCCUUUUUUUUUUUUUCUAUGGAAAGAGUUAUCGAGGCAGCGACUACGAAGAGGGAGGGAUUCAGCAGAACUUUCUCCACCACCUCCAUCCCCACCUCUGCCCAAAAGUAGCCUGGCUGUAGGCACAGGGACCCGACGGGACCCCUCCCUGUCUGGCGGCACCCACCCGCAGCGCCUCUCCCAGGGGUGGCAGCCCCAGGGGGGCGAGCAUCCCUCGGGCAGCCCCUCUCCUCACCUUGCUGACGACGUUUUGGACCAGGCCGGCCCUGAUCCGGUAGUGCCACUCGUGGCAGUCGCACUCGCUGGCGUUGCCGGGGCCGGGCAGCGCGGUGGCCGUGGGGAAGAUGCCGCUGCGGUUGGCGUGCCCGGGGGGGACCAGGGAGCCGUUCCAGUCGCCCUGCUGCCCGUCCGCCUGCCGGCACCAGAAGUCCGGCUGGUCCAGCAGGAAGGAGUCCGAGAACUUGCUGAAGCCGAUGAAGAGGGCCGGCACCCAGGUGAGCAGCACCAGGGUGCGCUGGUACCCGCCGCCCAGCCCCCCGAGGAAGGGCAGCACGGAGCCGUCGUAGUCGAGGAGCAGCGGGCUGCAGGCGGCGGACGACGACGAGGGGGGCGGCGGCAGCGCCUGGAUUUCGGCCCCGACCCCCAGCCCGGCCCCGGGGGGCGGCCCCGGGGGGGCGGCGGCGGCCCCCGGCACGGAGCCGUUCUCCUCCGGCAGCGGCCGGCCCUCGCGGCGCCGCUCUAUCGCCAUGCAGCCGCCCGGGGGGGGGGGCUCACAUAAGGGGGGGCUCCACGGCAAGCCCCGGCGCCUCCCGGCGAGUCGAAGCGGCCCUCCUCCUCCUCCUCCUCCUCCUCCUUCUCCUCGUCGUCCUCCUCUUCCUCGCACUCACGCCUCGCCGAGCGGAGAGGAGAGGGAAGGAAAGGGAAGGGGGGAGGCGGCGGCGAGCGAGCCCCUCGCCCUGCGGCCCCCAGCGGGCUGCGG
Molecule: long non-coding RNA, 1128 nt
Filed under: Anas platyrhynchos platyrhynchos (common mallard)
Lineage: Eukaryota; Metazoa; Chordata; Aves; Anseriformes; Anatidae
Description: lncRNA (ENSAPLG00000020231.1)
Source: RNAcentral